Peromyscus maniculatus bairdii (prairie deer mouse) is the source of this 2027-nucleotide non-coding RNA. The record is from RefSeq and is a predicted model, not a curated record. NCBI's taxonomy places the organism in Eukaryota, Metazoa, Chordata, Mammalia, Rodentia, Cricetidae.
UCUGUGUAGCUUUACGCCUUUCCUGGAACUCACUUGGUAGUCCAGGCUGGCUCUGCCUCCUGAGUGCUGGGAUUAAAGGCGCGCGCCACCACCCGCCUGAUUGUUUUCCUUUCUUAAUACCUCUUGUUGGAAACACACCUGGAUGUCUAGCCUCUGCCUUUUCUUGCUGAAAAUGUGCAGUUAAUUUUCUCCCUUAGGCUGGAAUGCCCUCAGUGUGUUAAUUUCUUUAGAACGGUUUUUCAGUAUUUAUGUUUUUUUGUGUAUGUAUGUGAGAGAGAUUUGUGUGUGUGUGUGUGUGUGUGUGUGUGUGUGUGUGUGUGUACACCACAGCACAUAUGCAGGAGACCAAGGACAACUUGAGGAAGUUCCAGGGGUUAAACUCAAGAACUCAAGACCUCAGACUUGGUGGUAAGCUUCUUUACCUGGGAGCCUUCUGACCUGCCCACAACUUAUUUCAACUAAUGAGAAUAUGCUGGCUAAAAUUCUGCACUGUGUGAAAGUGAUCUCAGACUUGAUCCCUGCUCUCAUGGAAAUGUAGGAACUGGCCUACAUGGCCAAAGAGGAUAAGUGAGGGCAAAACCAUCUCUGGGGCUUGAAGAGCCACCAAACUUGGCAGGAAGGGUAGGUGACUGGCCCCUUAGUCUCUCGGCCUGAUCUCCAAGCCCUGCGCAGCCCCCAUGCUUGGGCCUGAACAGACAACGUUUCUGCUCCUCACUGCCAGAUCGCCCACACUAUCUGACUCCCCCAGGGAUAGCAACAACAAGGGGCUGGGGUGGAGCCUGGGCCCCCAGGACAGCUGGCUAACAAGGCCCCUCUGGGACUCCAGUCUGGGCCCCAGCAUUCAGGAGGCAGCGAUACUGGAGCUGUGACAGUUGGCCCUUAGAGUCCCCACCCCGUGGCGCCAGCUCUGGUUUCGGGCUGGGUGAGGGAGGGGAUUAGUUGCCCUCCUGGGACGGGGAGGCAGUAAACAUGGCUCCCUGUGAGGACUUUUCCUCCCUGGGGCCCCACGCUAGGGUGGAUGUGAGGAGGGGUUUGGGCCAGGGUGACUUGUGUAGUGUAGACUGUCAUGUGCAGGAGGUCAGGGCGGGCGGGCGUGGAAGGCAUGUGAAGUCUGACCCUUCUCAUUUGCACACUCGGGUUCUGAGACUCCCUUCUGCCUCCUGUACAGGUCUGCUUCCUUUUCAGAAAAGGGAAGAGGAAGUCAGAAAGGGGAGUGAGAAAGACCCUUCCAUUUCCUGAAGGACAGAACUUGACUUGGAUGGCACCUCCCAUAAACCUCCCCUGUCACCUCUGCGUGUCCAUUUGCUACACUGUACAGUACCUGCCUUCGUUUGCUCCUUCACUACACCGGAAACUCCUGGAAAGCUGAAGUCUGAUCUAGUGCACUCCUGUGAUCCCGGCAUCUGGUACAUAGACACUCGAUGUACAGCAGCUGGACACGUUCCUCUCUCCUUGAACAUCCCCCGUCACAUACCCACUGCCAGAUGUUCAACUGCUGCUUCCCACCAUACCUCCCAUUCCAGCACCUCCACCCCUGGCCCUCGGUCCUCCGGCCAGCAAGGGGUACUGUCUGCAUGAGAUUUGCCGUGUAAUGUCCUGGGUCCCUCUGCUCUGCAGCACCUAAUCUGGAGCUCCCAGACUACGAAUGCCAUCCAUGGUGCUCAUUCUCUUUGGCUGAUGACUCAGAAGUGAUGUCAGAGCAUACCCUUUCCCUCGGCCCUGGCAGGUAGAGAAUGCUAAAACAAAGUAUGAGUGGCUUGCUUUUCCUUUCAGACCUCGCUGGGGAUCACGUGCUCUGGCAUGACGUGCACACCUCCCGAGGCUGCGCUGGCCCCUUGUGCUUACGCUUCCUUUGCACUCAGCUCGUGUGUUAAAAACCAGUUUGCAUGGUCUGCAUGCCACGCCAGCCUGAGAGCUGUCUUGGGAUGUCACCCGGGUGUCUCUAAAGUCUGGCACACAGCAGGUCCUGUCGACAAAUGUGUUUGUGAAGUCAAUGAAUGAAUAAAAGAAGAAAGAGUCACUUGCCA